This 418-nucleotide unclassified non-coding RNA is filed under the name soil metagenome. RNAcentral's name for it is "partial contains 5.8S ribosomal RNA, internal transcribed spacer 2, and large subunit ribosomal RNA". The stretch from base 1 to 120 matches the Rfam family "5.8S ribosomal RNA", at positions 35 to 154 of the family's 154-position model. The record is from RNAcentral.
GAUGAAGAACGCAGCGAAAUGCGAUAAGUAAUGUGAAUUGCAGAAUUCAGUGAAUCAUCGAAUCUUUGAACGCAUCUUGCGCUCCUUGGUAUUCCUUGGAGCAUGCCUGUUUGAGUAUCAUGAGCAAAUCUCAAAGUCAAUUCCUUUUGUUGAUUCAAUUGGUUUUGCUUUGGACUUGGAAGCCUUGCAGAUUUCACAGUCUGCUCCUCUUAAAUGCAUUAGCUGGAUCUCAGUAAUUAUGCUUGGUUCCACUCGGCGUGAUAAGUAUCACUCGCUGAGGACACUGUUAAAAAGGUGGCCAGGAAAAUACUGAUUGAACCGCUUCUAACGGUCUAUUAAGUUAGACAAUUACCCUUAAGUUUGAUCUCAAAUCAGGUAGGACUACCCGCUGAACUUAAGCAUAUCAAUAAGCGGAGGA